AAUUAAGACUCUUAAUUGGGCUAAAUUCUAUGAGAUGCUAAUUGUUCGUGAUAAAUACAAUAUUCUUCAAGUUUCAGAAAUUUUGUAAUUGGGUCCAGAAGGUUCUAAUUAAUCUCAUGCUUAGAUCUUAGCAGGACUAAAUUGUAUGGUAAAUUUUUCUUUGAGUUAAUGAUGUAUAAGUGCUAGUAGACAUGAAAAUCUAGAUGGAAAUUGAUAAUAUGUUGAUACCUAUUUUGAAUUGAUCCUUCCAAU
Molecule: unclassified non-coding RNA, 252 nt
Filed under: Hevea brasiliensis (rubber tree)
Lineage: Eukaryota; Viridiplantae; Streptophyta; Magnoliopsida; Malpighiales; Euphorbiaceae
Source: RNAcentral